Long non-coding RNA from Thunnus maccoyii (southern bluefin tuna), 479 nucleotides. RefSeq lists it as uncharacterized. Lineage: Eukaryota; Metazoa; Chordata; Actinopteri; Scombriformes; Scombridae. The record is from RefSeq and is a predicted model, not a curated record. The transcript has 4 exons.
GGGAGUUCAGGAGAGGUGAGAAGCUGGUCGCACCACGCCGGCUCAUCCAGGUUUAUUUCAACAAACGGGUCACUGGAGCACACCGCUAACGAAAGAAGAAGAGAAAAUAUGUCGGUAUUCAUCAACUGGUCAGACAUGAUGUCAGCUGGGGGGCUGUUGAUACCGAUGGACAAAGUCUCGAAACCGUUUGUAUCUGUCUGGUCCUGCGGAGCUGUAGUGAGUGACAGGGGAGACCGAACAGAAGAGAGGGGAAGUAACGUUCCGAAAACUGAAAGAGAUCACAUGCAUUUUGUGAAGAGCUGACCACAGAGACAAGGAAGUAUGGUGUGAUGUCUAAUUUUCGCUGCAUGGUCCAUCAUAGAUGCAUGAGUGAAGCAGAAGAAAAGAAAAGAUAGACUAGAUGGCAAAAAGACUUUGGAGCCCUCAGUCCUCUGCUGGUGCAUUCCAUUAGUUUUCACAGAUGGUUUAAGCUGAUCAUA